GGAGACAGAGUUAGUAUAGGGAUAACUAAAAGAAUAAAUUCACACUACAAUUAUGAUGCCUCAGCCACGUCUACCUCCAUCUGGUGCUGUCUACAGAACAAAUCACAAACAGUACUCCCAGCGCACUUCGUCGCGGUGUGGCCGCCAUGGCCACUGCGGCUACAACGGAGCACGACCAAUCAAAUCAACUGACCUGUCUUUUCAAGUACUGGCAAUAGACUCGAGUAGCUCGGACGAUCGACUCGAAUAAGUUAACCGCCCCUUGGCACUUUGCAGCUUCUAUGUGGAGUAUCAGCUAUCAUUGAUCUCUCUAUUAGCAGUAAUUAACAUCUUUAACUUCCU
This 342-nucleotide long non-coding RNA is filed under the name Setaria viridis. RNAcentral describes it as "long non-coding RNA (SVIR_LNC010374)". Lineage: Eukaryota; Viridiplantae; Streptophyta; Magnoliopsida; Poales; Poaceae. The record is from RNAcentral.